Molecule: long non-coding RNA, 1022 nt
Organism: Tetranychus urticae (two-spotted spider mite)
Lineage: Eukaryota; Metazoa; Arthropoda; Arachnida; Trombidiformes; Tetranychidae
Source: RefSeq, a predicted model, not a curated record
UACCUUUCAGACUCAGUCUGGCCUUUUUGGUAUUUAAGGAAGGAACGUGUUCCAACUUUUCACAUUUCAAGUCAUCGAGUUUCAGACUUAACUUUACUCUUGUGGUUCAAUUGGCGGCUCACCCAUCUUACAUCUUAUAUCGUUUCUGUUUUACUCAUCGUCAUCCUCAUCUUCAUCAACAUUUUCAUCAUCAAUUGACAGUUAUCUUAUUCAAGUUUAACUGGAUAUUUUGACUAGUGAAAAGGAGACACUUUUAUUUUAAAAACCGAACAAGUCAAAUUCAAUUUUUUGAUUUUCUUAUUGUUUCAUCUUAACCAAGUUUAAAUCGAGAACAACUUAAACCGAUACCAGGAAAGUAUGUACAACGAAGAUGUUAUUCAAGAAGCUGUGCAAGUCUAUGAAGAGCGCAUGAAUGAUCUGAUGACCGAAAACGGAGAUAUUGGUUCAGUUUACGAAUUAAGACGAAAACACAGUACUGCUAAAUUUGAGGCUGUUGACCAUUUUAUUAAGAAUUGCCGGUUUGAGGUGAAUCCUUGGCGAUUGGAAAAGGAAUUGCGUGAAAAAUUUGAUAAACUUGUUGAUACAGUUAAGAAACACCGAAAGAAUCGUAAAAAUAAUAUGUUCUCUGACAAUAAGUCAAUUAACAACAUAUGGAGUUCAAUUUGUCACAAGCCAUCUGAAAUAGCAAAUCAACAAUGAAAAUCUUCAUGGAUCUUUCAGCAUUGUUUUUUUCGACUUAAAUCGUUGUCACAUACAAACACAAAAUCAUUCAUCGUUUUGUACAGUCCACAUAAAUUGAAAUCAAAACAACUUAAACGAUACGGAAAACAAUAUCUCACCCUAAAAUGUCUUACUAAUAACUCCACUUGAUAUGUUUUUUUCAUCAAACGGAAAGCUUUGUACAUUUCAGCAACUUUCUAGCUGACAUUUAAAAAACUUAUCACUUUUUUUUCAUAAACUAAAACUAUUUAUCCUCACCUGAAAUGAAAAUCAAUAAACAAACAUUACUAUGUUCAGUUUUA